CCCUUCGGGGUGUGACUGCGUACCUUUUGUAUAAUGGGUCAGCGACUUAUAUUCUGUAGCAAGGUUAACCGUAUAGGGGAGCCGGAGGGAAACCGAGUCUUAACCGGGCGUUAAGUUGCAGGGUAUAGACCCGAAACCCGGUGAUCUAGCCAUGGGCAGGUUGAAGGUUGGGUAACACUAACUGGAGGACCGAACCGACUAAUGUUGAAAAAUUAGCGGAUGACCUGUGGCUGGGGGUGAAAGGCCAAUCAAACCGGGAGAUAGCUGGUUCUCCCCGAAAGCUAUUUAGGUAGCGCCUCGUGAAUUCAUCUCCGGGGGUAGAGCACUGUUUCGGCUAGGGGGCCAUCCCGGCUUACCAACCCGAUGCAAACUGCGAAUACCGGAGAAUGUUAUCACGGGAGACACACGGCGGGUGCUAACGUCCGUCGUGAAGAGGGAAACAACCCAGACCGCCAGCUAAGGUCCCAAAGUCAUGGUUAAGUGGGAAACGAUGUGGGAAGGCCCAGACAGCCAGGAUGUUGGCUUAGAAGCAGCCAUCAUUUAAAGAAAGCGUAAUAGCUCACUGGUCGAGUCGGCCUGCGCGGAAGAUGUAACGGGGCUAAACCAUGCACCGAAGCUGCGGCAGCGAACGUAUCACCCAAGACAACUUUACGGAGUUGACGAUUGACGGAGCGAAGCGACGUCAAAGCGUUCAUUAAAGUCGAGUUGGCUUAGGGAUACGUUCGUUGGGUAGGGGAGCGUUCUGUAAGCCUGUGAAGGUGUGUCGUGAGGCAUGCUGGAGGUAUCAGAAGUGCGAAUGCUGACAUAAGUAACGAUAAAGCGGGUGAAAAGCCCGCUCGCCGGAAGACCAAGGGUUCCUGUCCAACGUUAAUCGGGGCAGGGUGAGUCGACCCCUAAGGCGAGGCCGAAAGGCGUAGUCGAUGGGAAACGGGUUAAUAUUCCCGUACUUGGUGUUACUGCGAAGGGGGGACGGAGAAGGCUAUGUUGGCCGGGCGACGGUUGUCCCGGUUUAAGCGUGUAGGUGUGUGUUCCAGGUAAAUCCGGUUCACUUUAACACUGAGGCGUGAUGACGAGGCACUACGGUGCUGAAGCAACAAAUGCCCUGCUUCCAGGAAAAGCCUCUAAGCAUCAGGUAACAUCAAAUCGUACCCCAAACCGACACAGGUGGUCAGGUAGAGAAUACCAAGGCGCUUGAGAGAACUCGGGUGAAGGAACUAGGCAAAAUGGUGCCGUAACUUCGGGAGAAGGCACGCUGACACGUAGGUGAAGUGAUUUACUCACGGAGCUGAAGUCAGUCGAAGAUACCAGCUGGCUGCAACUGUUUAUUAAAAACACAGCACUGUGCAAACACGAAAGUGGACGUAUACGGUGUGACGCCUGCCCGGUGCCGGAAGGUUAAUUGAUGGGGUCAGCGCAAGCGAAGCUCCUGAUCGAAGCCCCGGUAAACGGCGGCCGUAACUAUAACGGUCCUAAGGUAGCGAAAUUCCUUGUCGGGUAAGUUCCGACCUGCACGAAUGGCGUAAUGAUGGCCAGGCUGUCUCCACCCGAGACUCAGUGAAAUUGAACUCGCUGUGAAGAUGCAGUGUACCCGCGGCAAGACGGAAAGACCCCGUGAACCUUUACUAUAGCUUGACACUGAACAUUGAGCCUUGAUGUGUAGGAUAGGUGGGAGGCUUUGAAGUGUGGACGCCAGUCUGCAUGGAGCCGACCUUGAAAUACCACCCUUUAAUGUUU
RNAcentral lists this ribosomal RNA (1734 nucleotides) under Salmonella enterica subsp. enterica serovar Typhimurium. RNAcentral's name for it is "partial 23S ribosomal RNA". It matches the Rfam family "Bacterial large subunit ribosomal RNA", at positions 582 to 2215 of the family's 2925-position model. Lineage: Bacteria; Pseudomonadati; Pseudomonadota; Gammaproteobacteria; Enterobacterales; Enterobacteriaceae. The record is from RNAcentral.